UCCUUUUAUUAUUAUAGACCCCUUCCAAGUUGAUCAUUUCAUUUACAUCAAAUGGAUUCCAAGUUAAUCAUCUUAUUUUCUCAUUAUUUGUGUGGAUCCCAUGUUGAUUUUUUUAUUUAUUUAGUUUGCGGCAUUAUUUGAUACAAUGUUGUGUUUUUAAAAAAGCCUUCUUUAUUAGUGAUGUCAUUCUCUCUUUUUUUAUAUAUAUAAACUUACUAUAUAAAAUCAAAAGAAAAUGAGUUCUUAAAUUCUUUACAACCUGAUUUUGACCCUUUUUUUAGCAUAUUUUUUAUAAAAUAAUAAUAACAAAAGAUUAAGGGUUAAAUAACAACUAAGUAAAAAAGGAAGGAUAUAUAUGUAUUUGAAAACAUAAUCAAUGGGGCCUAGGUUUAGAAUAAACAAAAUCAGAGAAGGGAGGAGAUAAAAAACAAAAAACUAAGGAGAGAUCAUAUGAGAAGGGGAGGAAAAUUCUAAGGAAAAAUAGAUAAAAUAGGAAGAACAAAUUUGGCUAGAAUAAAAGAGAGAAAGUUAUAAGGAAUCGGUGGAGGAGGGAAAAAAUUUGGAGAGAACAAGUAAUAAAAAGAGACUAGAAAAAGACAUUAACAAAGGAAAAAAAACAUGAGAAAUAAUACCUUUUAAUUUCCGCUCCUCUUCCAAAAAAAAAAAAAAAAUCAACCCAAACCGUCACUUUUUUUUAUUUUUUUAUUUUCUUUUUAGCCAGAAUCUAUCUAGCCACACUGCCACAGACCCCAUCUUUUCCACCUCACACAGGUGCCACGCUCUGUCUUCAACCCCGCCAUCAUGUUUGCAAAGAAGUAGCAACAGCCACCACCAGACCAGAAGCAAGCCACCAUAAAUCUAUCUCGUUCCUCUCCAAUACUAACUGACAGCCUCUCUCCCAACACCAGCACGAAGCACCCAUCUUCUCCACACCACAACACAACCCUUUAAUGACGACAGCAGCACACAAGCAACACCUUUUCUCCUCCAUUCACAUAACCAACAACGGCAACACAAUCAUUAGCCUUUCCUCCUCCAUUCUCCGGUCACAAACCAGCCUUGAUCAAAGCAUAAACACAGUCGCAGAUCUGCCCAAAUGAACCCAGCAAUAAUCACGAUCGUGUUCCACCAAGAAUGAGAUCUUUUCUGCCUCGUUUUUUGUAGGUUUCGGUAGAGGAGCAUGGAACACAUACGUCGUCUCGAUCACCAGCCCUUGCUUCACGCAUUGCCUGCUGUCCCGAGUGUGACCUCCACAAACCGUCACUGCCGAGCUCAGUUCCAGCAGCUUUCGACCGACUCCAAUGGCUCUCGAAAGGUCACCUUCAAACCCCAACGCGCUAAUUUAUUUGUUUUGGAUAAUUUGCAAUAUAUUUGUUGUUUUUUUUUAUAUUUUGUGGGUGUGUGUUGGCUUGUAUAUGGUUGAUUGGAUUGAUAUUAUUCUACAUGUGUGGAUGUGUUCGUUUGAUUAUUGUGAGACUUAAUUGGUGUAAUUAAAUAGGUUGCUUUUUUUUGUUUUUGUUUUUUUCUUGCGU
RNAcentral lists this long non-coding RNA (1532 nucleotides) under Populus tremula. Its description in RNAcentral is "long non-coding RNA (PTRE_LNC000099)". Lineage: Eukaryota; Viridiplantae; Streptophyta; Magnoliopsida; Malpighiales; Salicaceae. The record is from RNAcentral.